Molecule: long non-coding RNA, 2097 nt
Organism: Mytilus californianus (California mussel)
Lineage: Eukaryota; Metazoa; Mollusca; Bivalvia; Mytilida; Mytilidae
Exons: 2
Source: RefSeq, a predicted model, not a curated record
ACUUCCUAGUUAAACACUAACAAAAAUAUUUAAAAAAAUGUUUGUACCCUUGUACCCUUAUUCCACUGACAAGAAAAUACAGAAUGCUUGUAGGAACACAAUAAGAAUCGCCUUAAAACAAUACCUUGAAUCAUAUUGUGACUCCUUGAACGCUGACACUAAACUACAAAAUCUGUGCACUACUGUUUUUACAAUGUUACGUAAACAUACUGGUAAAAAAGGAAAUGAUAUCAGUAAUAGAUAACGAUACACAAUUGACUCUACCAAGCAAAAAACUGAUUGAUAAUAAUCUCACAAGCUAAGUACAUUCAGUAGCAGAAGUUAUUAUAAUGAAGAAUUAAAAAAUACAAAGAUCAUACUUAAAAUUUAACUUACCAGAGCUGAAAGAUGCGGUAAAUGAUACAAAUGACAUUUUGCAUGGUACCUAGGUUAUACAAUGUUCAGACAUUUGUAAAACUAGUCUCUUGGAAUUGAACUCCCAUUAAUGAUGAGAUAUAAUUUCCAUGCAAAUUCCUUUUCAUUGCACUCUAAAACUUUAUACCAAAAAUCCUAAUGAUCCUCGAUCAUACCACCGAAUCGCACUUACAUCCAACUGAAAUACAAUAAUGUUGAAAAUGGUUAAAAAUAGACUUAAAUGGUAUCUAGAUAAACUAUUUCUUUUUCAAAACCAAAACGGUUAAUUAAAUUGAAACGGAAGCAUGAUGGAACAAAAUAUGCCAUAGGAUAAUAAUAUUUGAAAAACUAAACUAGUCACAUUAGGUUAUUCAUAAACUCCCGAAAAGCAUUCGAUAUGUUUUGGAAGCAUGUACUUGAAAAAAAGCAACAAGUGUCUAUAUUAAUGUUGCUGUUAUUCAUCACAAAGCAUUUGCAACGUGACAUAUUGUGAAUACGGAAGAAGAUAAAAGGAGGAUAAACGAAUAUACUUGUAAACUUAUAUAUCACUGUUGUCUUUAAAAUGUAUAAUUAAAAUAUUUCAUUUUUCUCUAUCUGUUUGUUUAUUUCAUUCAUUUAACUCUCUGUUUCAUCAUACUCAUUAUGACGUUUGACUGAGACUAACGACAGUUCUAAUACACGUCACUACACACAUGAAUGCGUCAACUAAAAUAACGCGGGAAAAUUACUACGCCUUAUAAAUAUAUAUUGUUGUUUUUUAUUUCAUGAACUGGUUAACCGGCUUACUAAGCGUACGCUUUAAAGUUGAAACAUUAUUUAGAGGUAAGCAAAAGAAAAUGUACAAAUGAAAGAGCAAUGGAACUUUCAUCCAUGAUGACAGAAGACAAAAGACCGGAUACUGAAGUGGAUGAAAGAAGAAAACAGAAAUAUGUUCGUUACAAACAAAACCAGUCUUUGAAAGACAUAAAUGUUUUACAACUUAUACUAAAGCAAAAAGAUAAACAUCUUCACUUAUUGCAAAAAGAAAACUGCUUACUCCAAGAUCGUUUAAACAAGCAAACAAUAGCACUCCUAGGAGAAAUAAAAGAGAGAGAUAAUAAUUGAAAAUCUUAUAUGCCUUCACAACAAAAUUAAAGAAUUCGACAAGUUCCAAGACAUGAUAAAGGAAAAUAUCCAAGUUGGGUUGAAUGUAAAGCUAGAUACAGUCAUAGGCGAGAUGGAAGUCAUGCGUUCUGCAAUAGAUGACCUGUUGGUUGAAGCAAGACAAAAAAGCAACAGUAUUUCAGAUACUAAAAAUGUUACCUUAAACAUUAUUAAGCAGAAAGGAAUUUUGCAGAUUUCUACCGAGGAUUAACUUUCCAUAGCAAAACAAAAAUGUUUUUCUUUUUUUUACUUUUAAUGUAAUCAAGACAAACGAAACUGCUACAAUGUGUACAGUAUAAAACUAAAUAGUAUAUAUAUAGACUAAUUACUGUAAAAAAUCUAGUGUCCUUUAUACAGAGUUUCAUUCAUUCUUCAUAAAACGGAAAUUUUUACAAUGUCUUCAAUAAACAGCGAUUUGCUGUAACAUGUUUUUUUUUAUGGAAACUGUAGCAACAUUUACUGAGUGUAUUUUCAUUUGGGAUAAAAACACAUUGUUUUACACAUUUGACCGUGAUUUGUACUAUGGAAGUAAUAUAUUUACAAUAAAAUACGUCCAAGGUU